UACGUAGGGAGCAAGCGUUAUCCGGAUUUAUUGGGUGUAAAGGGUGCGUAGACGGGAUUACAAGUUGGUUGUGAAACCCCUCAGCUCAACUGAGGAACUGCAACCAAAACUAUAAUUCUUGAGUGCAGGAGAGGAAAGUGGAAUUCCUGGUGUAGCGGUGAAAUGCGUAGAUAUCAGGAGGAACACCGGUGGCGAAGGCGGCCUGCUGGACUGCAACUGACGUUGAGGCCCGAAAGCGUGGGGAGCAAACAGG
RNAcentral lists this ribosomal RNA (253 nucleotides) under uncultured bacterium. RNAcentral's name for it is "partial 16S ribosomal RNA". It matches the Rfam family "Bacterial small subunit ribosomal RNA", at positions 524 to 776 of the family's 1533-position model. The record is from RNAcentral.